Molecule: ribosomal RNA, 392 nt
Filed under: uncultured bacterium
Lineage: Bacteria
Description: partial 16S ribosomal RNA
Rfam family: Bacterial small subunit ribosomal RNA
Source: RNAcentral
AUACGGAGGAUCCGAGCGUUAUCCGGAUUUAUUGGGUUUAAAGGGUGCGCAGGCGGCCAUUUAAGUCAGCGGUUAAAUCGUGGGGCUCAACCCCAUUCUGCCGUUGAUACUGGGUGGCUUGAUUGCGGUCGAGGUUGGCGGAAUUCGUUGUGUAGCGGUGAAAUGCAUAGAUAUGACGAAGAACACCGAUUGCGUAGGCAGCUGACCAGACCGCAAAUGACGCUCAUGCACGAAAGUGCGGGGAUCGAACAGGAUUAGAUACCGUGGUAGUCCGCACAGUAAACGAUGAAUACUUGUUUUCGGCGAUAUAAUGUCGGAGGCAAAGCGAAAGCGAUAAGUAUUCCACCUGGGGAGUACGCCGGAAACGGUGAAACUCAAAUGAAUUGACGGGG